RNAcentral lists this ribosomal RNA (255 nucleotides) under uncultured bacterium. RNAcentral's name for it is "partial 16S ribosomal RNA". It matches the Rfam family "Bacterial small subunit ribosomal RNA", at positions 524 to 776 of the family's 1533-position model. The record is from RNAcentral.
UACGUAGGGGGGCAAGCGUUGUCCGGAUUUAUUGGGCGUAAAGAGCUCGUAGGUGGUUCGGUAAGUCGGAUGUGAAAUCUCCAGGCUCAACCUGGAGGGGUCAUUCGAUACUGCCGUGACUAGAGGUCGGUAGGGGAGUGUGGAAUUCCUGGUGGAGCGGUGAAAUGCGCAGAUAUCAGGAGGAACACCCGUAGCGAAGGCGGCACUCUGGGCCGAUACUGACACUGAGGAGCGAGAGCGUGGGGAGCGAACAGG